GUGCUAGCGUCGGCAGCACAUAUGCUAAAAUGUAAAGAUUCGGAGAUUACCAUGGCCCCUGCGCAAGGAUGACACGCAGUUUUGUGAGGCAGUCCAUAUUUCA
This is a small nuclear RNA of Apodemus sylvaticus (European woodmouse), 103 nucleotides long. NCBI's taxonomy places the organism in Eukaryota, Metazoa, Chordata, Mammalia, Rodentia, Muridae. The record is from RefSeq and is a predicted model, not a curated record.